Molecule: ribosomal RNA, 793 nt
Filed under: uncultured bacterium
Lineage: Bacteria
Description: bacterial SSU rRNA
Rfam family: Bacterial small subunit ribosomal RNA
Source: RNAcentral
AGAGUUUGAUCCUGGCUCAGGAUGAACGUUGGCGGCGUGCCUUAUGCAUGCAAGUCGAACGAUCUGACGGUUCGCAAGAGUUGUCAGAGAGUGGCGAACGGCUGAGUAAUACGUAAGCGACCUACCCUUAAGUGGGGAACAACCCUGAGAAAUCGGGGCUAAUACCGCAUGUGGUGACGGGGUCAAUGCCCCUUCACUAAAGCCGCAAGGCGCUUGAGGAUGGGCUUGCGUCCGAUUAGCUAGUUGGUGGGGUAACGGCUCACCAAGGCUACGAUGACUAGGGGUUCUGAGAGGAUGAUCCCCCACACUGGAACUGAGACACGGUCCAGACUCCUACGGGAGGCAGCAGUGAGGAAUAUUGGUCAAUGGACGCAAGUCUGAACCAGCCAUGCCGCGUGAAGGAUGACUGCCCUAUGGGUUGUAAACUUCUUUUACAUGGGACGAACCUACUCUACGUGUAGAGUACUGACGGUACCAUAUGAAUAAGCAACGGCUAACUCCGUGCCAGCAGCCGCGGUAAUACGGAGGGUGCAAACGUUGCUCGGAAUCAUUGGGCGUAAAGCGCACGUAGGCGGCUUGAUGUGUCGGAUGUGAAAGCCCUCGGCUCAACCGAGGAAGUGCAUCCGAAACUAUCUGGCUUGAGUACGGGAGAGGGUAGCGGAAUUCCCGGUGUAGAGGUGAAAUUCGUAGAUAUCGGGAGGAACACCAGUGGCGAAGGCGGCUACCUGGACCGAUACUGACGCUGAGGUGCGAAAGCGUGGGUAGCAAACAGGAUUAGAUACCCUGGUAGUCC